AUUUAUUAGUAUUUUAAAAAAAACCUCAUGUAAAAAAUUAUUUCUUAUCUUUGCAAAUGAAUUAAAGAAUCGGCCUGCGCUUUUCCCUAUAAUACUCGGUACAAGAAAGAAAAUAUAUAAAAGACGACUCAUUAAAUUUAUCAUAAUAGAGUGCUUAAUUGUAAGUAAUAAUUUAACUUGAACCAUAUGCUUUAGGAGCUCCUUUUGUUCAUUAAAACACUGAUCAAACCCCGGCUCUACUAAGAUGUCUAGUGUUUUCAAGGGUUCAGGUGCGCAAUUCACCAGCAUCUUAACUGAAAGACAAAAUUUUUCUAAAUAAAUGUAUUAGGAAAAAACGAUAAAAAGGAUCCUUCCAGCAGUGGGAAAAGUUUUCCAAAUAUUAACCGGAGAAGCGCAAAAAAAAGGGAUUCGAAUCGAAAUCUGAAUAUCAUAAAAAAAAAAAAAAUCUUUUUCAACGAAUCAAAUAUAUAGAAUCUAGUAUAUUUGUAGUGAGAAAUAAAGACCCUAACUGUUUGUUUAUCCCUUAAUAUGUUUGUUUACAUUCCUUAGCAUCUGCUUUGUUUACAUCCGACGUAAUAUCACGACGUAUUGACACAUGUUACUUGGUGAUAUCAUCUAAAAAAGUGCGAACGAAGCCUGAUGAUAUUAUGACGAAAGCAAAAAGGAAACUGGAAAAAGAAUGACACGAAACACAACGUUAAUAUACUCUCGGCUAUACACAGCACAAUGUUGGAAUACGUUGCGUACCACUAUAUGUCCCAUUUUCGAAUACUAAAAUAAGCUUCGCUUAUUGACACGUGCAUAAGACUUCCGUCUAAACGAGGAUGGCAGUGAUAUCACCUAUUAGAAAAGAAUACAUAUAGAGCUGCAACUGAACUGAGAAAUGAAAUUCAGUUUUAAGCUAUUUCAACAAAAAGGCACAUUCGCAUCAACCUACAAAAUAAAAGGAGAAUCAUAUCCCAAUAAAUCAAAUGAUCUUAUUUGGGUAUCUUGUAGAUAGAACUAAUUCAUCGAUUAUCCUUACACCAUUUGAAAUGUUAGGACAAUUAGAUAUUUUAGUAAUCGCAAGGUUCUAUACCAUUCCUUAUACCUUCUUUAUGCAGAAGUUUAAGAGAUGCAGAGAUGUACCUUCGCUACACUCGCAUUGUGUAAUGAGAUUGAAAGUAGCAGUAGUGAUUAGGAAUUUGUAAGUCUACACAUACUUGGGUUGAAAGAGACAGAGGCACAGAAGAGAAAAAAAAAAUAAAAAACAAAUUAGCCCAAACAACUGAACAAUAGUAAUUUAGAACCCUUUCUAAUA
This 1300-nucleotide unclassified non-coding RNA is filed under the name Schizosaccharomyces pombe (fission yeast). RNAcentral's name for it is "intergenic RNA (predicted)". The record is from RNAcentral. Lineage: Eukaryota; Fungi; Ascomycota; Schizosaccharomycetes; Schizosaccharomycetales; Schizosaccharomycetaceae.